GUAACAAUUAUUGUUCUAUCCAUUUUCAGAUGGGGAUCUGAGAAGUAAUCUCUUAAAAUAUUAGAUCUUUCAUUUGUUAUAAUCUUUCUACACCUAACACUGAACGGCACAACUGUCCACAGACUGAAGAAAUUAAAAGACACUUGCUUGGAAGAAAAGCUAUGACCAACCAAGACAGCAUAUUAAAAAGCCGAGACAUUACUUUGCCAACAAAGGUCCAUCUAGUCAAAGCUCUGGUUUUUCCAGUGUAUGGAUGUGAGAGUUGGACCAUAAAGAAAGCUGAGUGCGAAGAAUUGAUGCUUUUUAACUGUGGUGUUGGAGAAGACUCUUGAGAGUCCCUUGGACUGCAAGGUGAUCAAAACAGUCAAUCCUAAAGGAAAUCAGUCCUGAAUAUUCAUUGGAAGGACUGAUGUUGAAGCUGAAACUCCAAUACUUUGGCCACCUGAUGCGAAGAACUGACUCAUUUGAAAAGACCCUGAGGCUGGGAAAGAUUGAAGGCAGGAGGAGAAGGGGAUGACAGAGGAUGAGAUGGUUGGAUGGCAUCACUGACUAGAUAGACAUGAGUUUGAGAAAGCUCUGGGAGUUGGUGAUUGACGGGGAAGCCUGGCGUGCUGCAGUCCAUGUGGUCGCAGAGUCAGACGUGACUGAGUGACUGAACUGACUGACUGAACACAUUUUCUAAGAUUGAAUACUUGUAACUUUGAGAGUAUCUGGUGAAAACUGAGGUAAGCACUUGAGGAGGGCCCAAAACUCUCCAAGCCUCUGCUCCCUUUGCGGUAGCAAGAAAUGAGACUGUUUAGAGACAGGUUGCCCAGACCAUCAGACUUAAGCCAAACAGAGUAGAUGCCUGCCUUCGGCACGAUGUGUGUGCGCAGUUAUUUCUGUUGUGCCUGACUCUGUGUGACCCUAUGAACUGUGCCCGGCCAGGCUCCUCUGUCUUUGGGAUUCUUUGAGGCAAGAAUAUUGGAGUGGGUUGCCAUGCCCUCCUCCAGGCAAUCUUCCUGAACCAGGUUACUGAGCCUGUGGCAUCUCCUGCACCUGCAUAGCAGGCAGAUUCUUUACUACUGAGCCACCUGGGAAGCCUCUUAGGCAUGAAUAUUAACCAUCAAAUCAUAUUUGCUCCAGUUCCAAGCUCACCAAAUCAUAAAUUUGCUUCCCACUUGGAUUUGACCUCUGGGUUAGGAAGCAAGAAUAUGAAAUCUGCUCAGUGGCUAAUUUUUUAUUGAUUUAUUAAGAGACUGCUUAUAUCAAAAGCUCAAACAAUAACCAGUCAUUUGGAUAAAGACUGUUUUCUGUCUCUCAAAUUUCUGUCAACAUAUAUUAACUUCAUUACUUUACUCAUUAUGGUCUACCAGGCAGGCAUUUGGGAGAUAGAGUGGACAGGAGACAGAUCAGAUACC
Bos taurus (domestic cattle) is the source of this 1400-nucleotide long non-coding RNA. NCBI's taxonomy places the organism in Eukaryota, Metazoa, Chordata, Mammalia, Artiodactyla, Bovidae. The record is from Ensembl.